UUGUGAUGUCAUAUACUUUCAAAGGUCCCA
RNAcentral lists this non-coding RNA (30 nucleotides) under Mus musculus (house mouse). The record is from RNAcentral. Lineage: Eukaryota; Metazoa; Chordata; Mammalia; Rodentia; Muridae.